AAGCGAAGCCGCGAGGCAGAGCAAAUCUGAAAAAGACAUCCCUAGUUCGGAUUGUAGGCUGCAACUCGCCUACAUGAAGCUGGAAUUGCUAGUAAUCACAGGUCAGCAUACUGUGGUGAAUACGUUCCCGGGCCUUGUACACACCGCCCGUCACACCAUGGGAGUUGGAAAUGCCCGAAGUCAGUGGCCCAACCGGAAGGGGGGAGCUGCCGAAGGCAGGUUCGAUGACUGGGGUGAAGUCGUAACAAGGUAAC
Molecule: ribosomal RNA, 254 nt
Filed under: uncultured bacterium
Lineage: Bacteria
Description: partial 16S ribosomal RNA
Rfam family: Bacterial small subunit ribosomal RNA
Source: RNAcentral